AGUCCCGCAAUGAAGGUUUUUAUACUCAGCUUCGUUGUUUGUUGCGAGGAAGUUCAGUCUGAGGCACUUUUCAAAUAUUGCCCCUUCCGGGCUCUUCAAUAAUAUUCCCGCUCCUGCUCCUAAACAUUCUUGGCCCCAUCAACGAACAUUUUCCAGGCUGAAUUAGGGUCAAUCUGAGGUGGUUCUGUUAUAACCUCUGGACCCUUAAUCGCUUCCCCAACGACCGUUGUUUCAAAAGUCCGAGGUGGUACUUGAAUAGCCUUUGGACCCCCGGGUUCGCAUUGGGUUUUGGAAGGUUUUGCCCUUGAGCUCUCCUAUCCUCUGUGUGUAGACACCAGGCAGCCUUGUUCUGGACUCAUAGCUAGGGGUGAUAAUUCUGCCACGAAAUUGGCAAGCACCUGUCCUUUAAUUACUGCUCUAGGAAAAAACUUUAUAUCUGACUGUCCGAGUUCGAUGGCCCAUUUUGGAAGUCAGCCGGACAAGUCAGCUUUUGACAAAAUAUUUUUUAGCAGAAACUUAGUGUACACAUCUAUGGGGUGAGCUUGAAAGUAAUGCAUGAGUUUCCAUGAGGUUAAAAUCAGAGCCAAAACCAGUUUCUCCAAUGGUAAGUACCUUAUUUGACAAUCUGUAAACGUCUUGCUAACAAAGUAGAUCGGGCGUUGUUCUGCGUUCACCUCCUUUAAUAGCAUCGAUUUAACAACGUGUUUAGAGACAGCGAGGUAAACAUAGAGUAGCUCUCUCUCAUACAGAGUCGAAAGAAGUGGCGAUUUAGUUAAGUACUGUUUAAAUUGUUGGAGUGUGAACUCGCAUUCUUUAUUCCACGAAAAUUUUACAUUCUUACGAAGGAGUUUAAAAAAUGGAUGGCAUUUGUUUGAGAACUUACUGAUGAACCUCUAUUUCGUUGUAAGUCUCCCAAUACCGCUUGUUGUAGUUGUAGAUUGGUUCGUUUUACCCUUCCUCAACGUUAAAAGGGAUCAUACGCCUUUCGGUGCCUUUGUAUUGAUAAUGAACCGACCUACAAAAGACUCGGUCAACUGGUGGAAGUUCUCGAUUGAUUCUGCAGGUAACUUGUCAAAUCACUUCAAUCCGAGAUUCCCUAGACUUGACAGGAACACCCGGUACAUUAGGGCAUCCAUGUGGUUCCAAAGAGCCAUCAUUUUCCUUACAUGACUCACGUGGGACCUCGAGUCUGAUUUGCCAUCGUACAAAUUAAACAUCGGUGGUGUGAACUUCUCCGUUGGGUCUAACCCUUCGAUUUCUCGAGAGAACAGAGUCUGGUAUCUUGAGGCUGCCUCUCUUUACAUGUUGUGGGGGGUGCGAACUACUGAACCCGCUAGAACAACUUUGCUUAUGGCUUCUGCCUUGUGGCCAUUGAGUUUGGCUCGCAAAUCUUCUUAUUAGUUUCGCUUGGCGUUGAGCGUGUCGCGGAGAUCCACCUCGGAUUUGGUUGGCUCGGGGGUCCUUCUCCACUUACUCGUCACCACGGUCUCGCUGUCAGUUCGGCUAUCCACACUUACGUGUGUUUUAUGUCACCUCUUGUCUCGACCUUACUGUGGGGGUAGGGUCAGUUCUUUUAUCCGGCCUUCCGUUUGCCCUGGCGCAACAGUUUCGGCAGGUUUCAUCAAUCUGCUAUCAACCAUGAUCUACGUUAGUUUGGCCAGCUGCCUUUAUAAGCGUUCGAUGGUUAUGUCGCGACUGUCUUCUCUUCUAAGGAACAACCAACCUAGGUUCUACCUAGAGGUGGCCCUAGAUGCCCUCUACGUGUCCUCCAAUAGUUUACCCCCUCUGUGCCUAGGGGUUUUGGGAGCAUGAGGGAUCUCCCUGCGAGUUUCACGACUAUCUAUAUGGUUGCUACUAUGCGACGCCAUCAGAAACGGCUUGGCGAAUGUCUAUAAUUGAUUUUUCAUAGAUCGCGCCAAUUAUGGGGUUGUUGAUGUAAGGAUGGAAAAAAAAUCAAGGAUAAACACUCACGACGAUUCUAAUCCUUCAUCCGAUUGACUAGCGAUGCCCUAACUGCAAGCAUAGGAAUAGUGAGAAUGGCCGCUUGAGCUGUUUCUAAGAAAUGACCCUCGACGGUCAAAUUAGAUGUCCGGAUAUCUAGAGAGAGAAAGUGUAUGUAUGUAUAUUUUGAGAGUAAGGUUGCACAUACCUCCUUCAAGAUAACAAUGUUU
RNAcentral lists this long non-coding RNA (2171 nucleotides) under Actinidia chinensis (golden kiwifruit). RNAcentral describes it as "long non-coding RNA (ACHI_LNC009276)". Lineage: Eukaryota; Viridiplantae; Streptophyta; Magnoliopsida; Ericales; Actinidiaceae. The record is from RNAcentral.